Molecule: long non-coding RNA, 2274 nt
Filed under: Serinus canaria (Common canary)
Lineage: Eukaryota; Metazoa; Chordata; Aves; Passeriformes; Fringillidae
Description: lncRNA (ENSSCAG00000011750.1)
Source: RNAcentral
CCGCCGCUUCCUGCCCUGAAAGGGGAAGGGAGGCGGCUCCGAGGGCCGGGGAGGGGCAGGAUGGGCCCGAGGGGCUUUGGGGGGCUCUGCCUGGCCCUGCUCUGCUCCGGGGCCGGUGAGUGGGGCCGGGGGGGCUCGGGGUGUGGGGCUGGAGCCAGGAUGAGGAGGAUGAGGAAGAGGAAGGGGCUGAAGGUCCCUGCAGGGCUUUUCCUGGGGGUUAAGCUCAGCUUUGGGUUGAGCCUGGCUUUGCUGAGGGCGGUUUGUGUUCCCAGGAGGGUUUUGGGGUCCUCUGAGCUGUCCCAGCUCCCCAAAUCCACCCCAGCCCACCCUGGCGCAGCACCAGGAGGGGCUUUUGGACCGUUUUGGGUUGGUUUUGUUGAUUUUGUUGGUUUUGGGUUGGUUUUGUUGGUUUUGGGUGGGUUUUGUUGAUUUUGUUGGUUUUGGGUGGGUUUUGUUGGUUUUGUUGGUUUUGGGUCGGUUUUGUUGGUUUUGGGUUGGUUUUGUUGAUUUUGUUGGUUUUGGGUCGGUUUUGUUGGUUUUAAUCUCAGCAGGGCCGCCAAUGGGACUUGGGUGGUCCUGGCGGGUCCUUCCACUCCCACCCCCCAAUUCCAUGCCCCAAACGGGGACGUUUUGGGAUAUUUUGGGCUAUUUUAUAAUUCCCUGCUGGUGGCACAGCCCCAAAACCUCCUGGGUUUCGGGACAGCCCCAGGGCAGCCCCAGCCCCCAUUUCCCACGGUGAAAACCCGACAGGUUUGGGGUUUUUGCUGUCGGGGGCGAGGUGUGAGACCCACGGGAUGUGGGGCCGCUGCUCUGCUCAGGCUCAGCCCCCUCGGGGAGCUGUGGGACCUCCUGAGAUGGAAAAACCCACCCGGAUCGUCCAACCCAGCCCCAGGCCAUCCCCAAAUCCCCAAAAUCCCCAAAAUCCCCCAAAAUCCCCAAAAUCCCCCAAAAUCCCCCAAAACUCCCAAAACCCCAAACUACCCCAAACUACCCAAAACCCCAAACCCCAAAACUACCCCAAACCCCAAACCUACCCCAAACUACCUACCCAAACUACCCCAAACUACCCCGAAACUACCUACCAAACUACCCCAAACUACCCCAAACUACCCCAAACUACCCAAAACCCCAAACUACCCCAAACUACCCCAAACUACCCUAAACUACCCAAACUACCCCAAACCCAACCCCAAACUACCCNNNNNNNNNNNNNNNNNNNNAUCCCCAAAUCCCCAAAAUCCCAAAUCCCCAAAUCCCCAAACCCCCAAAUUCCCAAAUCUCCAAAUCCCAAAUCCCCAAAUCCCCAAAUCCCCAAAUUCCCAAAUCUCCAAAUCCCAAAUCCCCAAAUCCCCAAAUCCCAAAUCCCAAAAUCCCAAAAUCCCCAAAUCCCCAAAUCCCAAAUCCCAAAAUCCCAAAACCCCCAAAUCCCAAAUCCCGCCCGGUGUCUGGGAGGGGUUUCCAGACCCUCCUGGAGGUUUUGGGGUCGGGGUCAUUCCCUGGGGAGCUGUUCCAGAGCCCCCAAACCCUCUGGGGACAGAAUUUCAGGGAUCUCCCCCCCAAAUCCCACCUGGGACAUCUCCUGGGAUCCCCCUCGGAAUUCCCGGGAUUUUUUCCGUCUCCUCUUUCCCAGAAUUUCCUUUUGGGGCCCCUCCUGACCUUUCAGCCGCUGGCGAUGUCCCCAGACUGUGUCCCACGUCCCCUGAGGGGACAUCGGGGUGGAUAUUCCUGUUCCCGACCCCCGAAUUUGGGGGAGAAGGAGCAAAUCCCAAAUCCCAGGAAUUCCCAGCUCUCGGCUUCCAGGAAGAGGAGCCAGGGAACGGGACUGGGAACGGGAACGGGAACGUCACCGAGGAGAGCCCGGAGGGGACACCAGGACACCCCAGCACGGCCACCGGGGAUGGGGACGCGGUGACAGCGCGGCCGAGGGCCACCACGAGCCCUCCUGGGAGCCUUGGGGACCUCGCGGUGACACCGGCGGGGAACCAGACCCGAGCCUCCUGGGGUGUCCCAGCCCGGUUCUGGUCCCCCGUCAUCUUCGUGGGGCUGGCCCUGCUCGGGCUCUUUGUCACCUACCAGAGGAACAAGGACAAAGGGAUCCGGGAGCGGGCCCCGAGCGGCAGCGACUCCUCAGGUGAGCCCUGGGGGGCCGCGGCACUGGGGGAACUGGUUUUACUGGGAGCUUUGAUUUUAUUGGGAGAUUUUGAUUUUAUUGGGAGAUUUUCUCUUUUAUUUUUUAUUGAAUAUUUGAUAUUUUGAUAUUUCGUUGCAUUGGGG